CCAGGUUGUUGUUCAUGGAUUUCUAUAUGUUUCUUAGAAACCUGGAAACAUGUUACAGUUAGAGAAACUCCUACAGUGGCUCUCCUGGACCUGACCCAGCUUUCACAAUUUUGCUAGUCGUAUUCCGUUGCUCACCACCAGAGGGCACUGUUCUCCCCACACACGGGGCAGGGUCCUCAUAGGCCCGAGGAAAGCUCACUGCAGCCGGUUUGCAGAAGGCAGAAGCUGAGCAGAGAGCGUGGAUGUACGUGGGGAGGCAGUGCAGGUGGGGUCUGUGGGGUGGAUGGUGCAGGUGGGAUGUAUGUGCGGGGGCGGUGCAGGUGGGGUCUGUGGGGUGGAUGGUGCAGGUGGGGUCUGUGGGGUGGAUGGUGCAGGUGGGAUGUAUGUGCGGGGGUGGUGCAGGUGGGGUCUGUGGGGUGGAUGGUGCAGGUGGAUGUAUCGUGGGGGUGGUGCAGGUGGUGUGAGGGGUUGGGAUGAGGACUGGGGGGGGGU
RNAcentral lists this long non-coding RNA (492 nucleotides) under Aotus nancymaae (Ma's night monkey). Its description in RNAcentral is "lncRNA (ENSANAG00000038661.1)". The record is from RNAcentral. Lineage: Eukaryota; Metazoa; Chordata; Mammalia; Primates; Aotidae.